Molecule: ribosomal RNA, 461 nt
Filed under: Sporosarcina sp. SSCA7
Lineage: Bacteria; Bacillati; Bacillota; Bacilli; Caryophanales; Caryophanaceae
Description: bacterial SSU rRNA
Rfam family: Bacterial small subunit ribosomal RNA
Source: RNAcentral
CAAGUCGAGCGAAUCUUUGGGAGCUUGCUCCUAAAGAUUAGCGGCGGACGGGUGAGUAACACGUGGGCAACCUACCUUACAGAUGGGGAUAACUCCGGGAAACCGGGGCUAAUACCGAAUAAUCCAUUUCUUCGCAUGAAGAGAUGUUGAAAGACGGUUUCGGCUGUCACUGUGAGAUGGGCCCGCGGCGCAUUAGUUAGUUGGUGGGGUAACGGCCUACCAAGACCACGAUGCGUAGCCGACCUGAGAGGGUGAUCGGCCACACUGGGACUGAGACACGGCCCAGACUCCUACGGGAGGCAGCAGUAGGGAAUCUUCCACAAUGGACGAAAGUCUGAUGGAGCAACGCCGCGUGAGUGAAGAAGGUUUUCGGAUCGUAAAGCUCUGUUGUAAGGGAAGAACACGUACAGGAGUAACUGCCUGUACCUUGACGGUACCUUACCAGAAAGCCACGGCUAAUU